ACACUCCUACGGGAGGCAGCAGUGGGGAAUUUUGGACAAUGGGGGCAACCCUGAUCCAGCAAUGCCGCGUGAGUGAAGAAGGCCUUCGGGUUGUAAAGCUCUUUUGUCAGGGAAGAAACGGUGGUGGCGAAUAACUACUACUAAUGACGGUACCUGAAGAAUAAGCACCGGCUAACUACGUGCCAGCAGCCGCGGUAAUACGUAGGGUGCAAGCGUUAAUCGGAAUUACUGGGUGUAAAGCGUGCGCAGGCGGUUGUGUAAGUCAGAUGUGAAAUCCCCGGGCUCAACCUGGGAAUUGCAUUUGAGACUGCACGGCUAGAGUGUGUCAGAAGGGGGUAGAAUUCCACGUGUAGCAGUGAAAUGCGUAGAUAUGUAGAGGAAUACCGAUGGCGAAGGCAGCCCCCUGGGAUAACACUGACGCUCAUGCACGAAAGCGUGGGGAGCAAACAGGAUUAGAUACCCCAGUAGUCCCAUGA
Molecule: ribosomal RNA, 476 nt
Filed under: uncultured organism
Description: partial 16S ribosomal RNA
Rfam family: Bacterial small subunit ribosomal RNA
Source: RNAcentral